Molecule: long non-coding RNA, 607 nt
Filed under: Elaeis guineensis (African oil palm)
Lineage: Eukaryota; Viridiplantae; Streptophyta; Magnoliopsida; Arecales; Arecaceae
Description: long non-coding RNA (EGUI_LNC010668)
Source: RNAcentral
AUUGUGUUAUAACGGUACAGAUGAAAACCAUGCUUGUUACAAUAGAGAAUUCAUAUAUUCCUGUACGUGACCCUACUUCUGCAUUCAAAAUGACAAAUUCCUUAACAAAGUCUCUUGCUAAAUUAAAGAAGAAAUGAUCUCAAAUAACACAUUUUGAUGCCACAAGCCUUGCCACAUCCUUAAGACACAAGGAUCACCAGCCCAUGCAUCAAAAGGCUGCUAAAGUAGAUAGCUUAGUUUGGAAAAUUGUUGCUCAUACAGGACACCUAUUUUAUGCACAUCCAUACUGUGAGGGCUCGCCAUUUGGGCUGGUCCAGCCCACCUUAAAAACAAAAAAUCUUGAUUCCAUCCCCAAUUUUGGAAACAGGGGAUUCCCCUGUUUUUGGGUGUUGAAGGAGGAAGAAUCCUCCUCCAACUCUUCUUUGUUGGAGGCUAGGAACCCUAACCUCUGUGCUUCUUAAAGCAACACCCCCCUUACCCCCACCCCCACUGGGAUUCACCCUCAUCGAGAGCUCGCCGCAUCCUCUUUUCUUUAUUCUUUUCCUUUUGAUUUCUGAUGAUUGGACUCGUUAUGACUGCCAGAAUCUGGCCACUUCAGCCAAGCCCC